This is a long non-coding RNA of Vitis vinifera (wine grape), 428 nucleotides long. RefSeq lists it as uncharacterized. The transcript has 2 exons. NCBI's taxonomy places the organism in Eukaryota, Viridiplantae, Streptophyta, Magnoliopsida, Vitales, Vitaceae. The record is from RefSeq and is a predicted model, not a curated record.
AAACCAACAUCCAAAUAAGCCCAUCACCCCUAGGGUUCACCUAUAAAUACUUCGACAGCCCUCAAGACCCAAAAUCUCUGCCCUCUUUACCAGCAGCCUAGCAGAAAAAUUAGGGUUUUACAGAGAAGGAAGGCUAUCAUCACCCGAUCACCAUGAGAGCUAAGUGGAAGAAGAAGCGUAUGAGGAGGUUGAAGAGGAAGCGCCGAAAGAUGAGGCAGAGAUCCAAGUAGGCGAACCAAUGAACGGUCCUCAUCAGUUUCGUUUUCUCCGUUUAGAGUCGUUUUUUUUGUUAUAAGUCAGUACCGUUUGGUCGAAGUUUUAUCUUGUUUAAUGUUCUGAUACAUUUUGUUUAGAUUCAGUUUGGAGAAUCUUCACACUUGGAUUAUGCUACUGUGUUUUGGUUAUUAAGAUUUCUUUAUGUUGAUGAA